Molecule: long non-coding RNA, 295 nt
Organism: Rosa chinensis
Lineage: Eukaryota; Viridiplantae; Streptophyta; Magnoliopsida; Rosales; Rosaceae
Exons: 3
Source: RefSeq, a predicted model, not a curated record
CCCCCAGCGACCAUGCGAACGAUCUUCAUCAAUGGUAGAGCCUCCGAUAUGUUCGCUACCUGCGUCAUCCAACCCAUCGAUAUCAUCAAGUUUUGUCGUCAUGGCCUCCAAGAGCAUCUUGAAGGAGCUUAAGGAUUUGCAGAAGGAUCCUCCCACUUCCUUCAGCACAGGUUCUGUGGCUAAGGACAUGUUUCAUUGGCAAGCAACGAUUAUGGGAUCCCCUGAUAGCCCAUAUGCUGGAGAUGUAUUCCUUGUCACCAUUCAUUUCCCUCCUGACUAUCCUUUCAAACCACCU